AUAACACAUUCAAGUCGAGGGGCAUCAAUUUAGCACUACUCCAGUGGCGGACGGGUGAGUAACACGUGAGCAACCUCGGUCCUAGAGCGGAAUAACACUUGGAAAAGCGGAAAUACCGUAUGUUCCCUGGAAUCCGCAUUAUUUUACUGCCAAAGAUUAUUGCGUAGAGAUCGGCUUGCGUCCGAUUAGGUAGUUGGCGGGGUAACGGCCCACUGACCCGACGAUCAGUAGGGGGACUGAGAGGAAGGACGGCCACACUGGAACUGAGAACGGACCAGACUCCUACGGGAGGCAGCAGUCGGGAAUAUUGGUCAAUGGACGAGAGCCUGACCCAGCGAAGCCGCGUGAAGGAUGAAGGUCUUACGGGUUGUAAACCUUUGUCAACAGGGAAGAAAAAACUGACGGUACCUGGGGAGGAAGCCACGGCUAACUGCGUGCCAACAACCGCGCUAA
This 453-nucleotide ribosomal RNA is filed under the name uncultured eubacterium WJGRT-128. RNAcentral describes it as "bacterial SSU rRNA". It matches the Rfam family "Bacterial small subunit ribosomal RNA", at positions 48 to 523 of the family's 1533-position model. The record is from RNAcentral.